This is a long non-coding RNA of Anolis sagrei ordinatus, 1546 nucleotides long. RefSeq lists it as uncharacterized. The record is from RefSeq and is a predicted model, not a curated record. NCBI's taxonomy places the organism in Eukaryota, Metazoa, Chordata, Lepidosauria, Squamata, Anolidae.
CGGGUGCACCUUCCGUACAUUUGUGGCACAAAGAGCACAACACGGGCACCCUCUGCUCUUGCAUGCACCCUUCUUGGGGUUCCACAAUGACUCUGUCUAGGGACUCUUGUCUCCUUUUUCUCCCCCUCCUGAGGCUGGAGGGGAGCGUCACUGGUUUGCGGCCUAGACUCAGCGAAAGUUGUGGCUUUUGUUUAGUUUUGUGUUCUUGUUUUCGUUCUCGUAGGAUCAAGACUGAAGAGUUCCUUUGCAGGCCAAGGUCAAAAAGGAGGAAGGUGGAAAUCUCGGGGAGGAAGAACCAAACAGGGAGUUCCACAGGUUGCUUUUUUUGGACAAUGGAAGGGAGUCGAUCGAUAUGCCAGGAGCAGCCCUGCCCUUGGUUUGCUAUUGAAUAACCGAGAGGGGAUUACACAUUUACCCAAAGCCUGACCCGGCUGACCUCAAUCUCUUUCCCUGCCAAGUCACAAGUGAAAGACUUAUUGAUCGGAGACGGUUCAUUUCUGUCCUGGGCUCAAAAGCCAACAAAAUAGAGAUGCGAGCAGAAAUCCAUGUGCCGAAGGGAGCAGAAACCCAUCCGUUGGCAUUUCGGUGACGCCCUGAUUGCCAGAUUCUGAUUUUACUCCUUCUUUAUUGCAAUGCUUUCUAACCUGGCGAUGCUUUUGCAAACCUCUCCUGUUGCAACUCAGCAUCCGCUGCUUCCUUCCUUUGCCGGAAUCGCCCACCUGUUCUGCUUCCUCCUCCCUGCAUGGCACAUUGUUUCCGAAGUCAUCGCAGGUGAUUUAUGGCAUGCACUAAGGUGGGAGGGUGUUAUAGUUUUGCACAUCGGCUUCAACGACCGAGAAGGAUAAGGUUGGAUGGGAUGGCAUGCGGUGGGCGGAUGGCGCCUUGAUACGUCUUGACAGAUGUCCCCAAGAGUCAUCCGCCGAAUCCAGACUGUUACGUCUCAAGGCGGAGAGAAGAUGCUGGAGAGAGAGAGAGAGACGGAAAGAAAGAAAGAAGGGAAUGAAAAGUGCUGACAGGGACGCUAUCUCUUCCCUUUCCUUCCCUGCCGUGUGCCGAGAACAGAGACACAAAUCCCUUUAACACCAUGCAGUUUUAAUUCCUGCUGCCGUAGGCCUUCUCGCUCUUGAGUCUCUAUCUUUCCUAACCUGGAGCAAAAUGAACUCUUUGCAAGAGUAGACGGACUGCAUGAUGGACCUUAUCACAUUGGGAACAGGAGCUUCCCAGUGAUGCAAUGGGUUAAACCCUUGUGCCUCUCUAACUACACAGAUAUCUAUGAGUACAAUGUAAAUAUAAAGCCUAUAAAGCCCUGAACGGUUCUGGCCCAGUUUAUUUGUCUGAACGUAUCUCCUGCUAUGAUCCACCUAGGGCUGUGAGAUCAUCUUUGUUGUCCCCCCAUUAUCAUAGAAUCCUAGAAUCAAAGAGUUGGAAGAGACCUCCUGGGCCAUCCAGUCCAACCCCAUUCUGCCAAGAAGCAGGAAUAUUGCAUUCAAAGCACCCCUGACAGAUGGCCAUCCAGCCUCUGUUUAAAAGCUUCCAAAGAAGGAGC